Molecule: long non-coding RNA, 828 nt
Organism: Solanum pennellii
Lineage: Eukaryota; Viridiplantae; Streptophyta; Magnoliopsida; Solanales; Solanaceae
Exons: 3
Source: RefSeq, a predicted model, not a curated record
UAGAAUUGAGAAAUCAACUCCAGUAACACCAAACAGUCACAUCUAAGUAACAUGCACUAAAAGAAACAGAUGUAGAAUCCGCUAAACAAUCAGGAACAAAGUAGAUGCUAACAUAAGACACUUCUUUUCGGCAUGGUUUCAGCAAUAAAGAUGGCAACAAAAGUAAAGCAGAAAGGUGAAUCAUGGAUCAACCUCAUGAUAGGGAUUAGGGUGCAAGGGGGAAGAGAGAGAACACCAAAAGCAGGCAUACGAGCACGGAAAAUAAAGAUGCAUGAAGACAGAGAAUUAUAGAAAGGAGCUUACACAGUUUGACAAGUGAAUAACAUGAACAUUACAAGGGUCUGACGUUCCUCCUCCCACUCAUGGCUAGCUUGGAUUGUUCUAUUAGCACAUCGGAUUGAUAUACAAUAAGAUGUCAAGAAGGAGAUAAAUAAAAGACCCAUGGUUGACAGACGUGUAUAUGAAAAUGUUCAAACAAAUCCUAGAAGAAGUCAAAAGACAUUAGCGAAGUAUCUACCUCACAGUUUUGUACAUAUCUUUGAAGGUUUCUACCAAAUAAUCUGCAACAAGGCAAAUUUUCUGUCAAAAUUCCUUGUAAUUUAAAGUUGAUGAAAAACAUUAGGCCUUACACUUAGUACUCAGCAUUAUCUCACAAGGGAAAGAAGCAACUGCUUGAGUGAAUAUACACAUUGAAACUUAUGAUCCUCUAUCCAGUAUAGAAAAAAGUGACCUUCAUGUAGCUAAUACUAGAGAUAAGUUGGACUGAGAUUUAUUGAUAUAAAAGCAUGAGUGUGUUGCUAAUACAUACCACGUGAAAUCAAUUGGUAA